CGUCCAAAUGCACUAUCUUGCUUUGUUUUUGGAAUUCGUAUUUAAGUUUGAUAUCUUUUUUGCAGCUGCUGGAAAGUGGUCGCAGAAAAUUUCUCUUAUGGGAGUUAUGGAGGAGUUGGGGAGGAAGAACAAAGUAUUCAGCAGCUGAGAUUCAAAGCUGCUUUGCUUUCUUUCUCAAGUUGAAUUUUAGUAGAUGUGAAUUAUGUGAUGCGUUUUCGUGCAAUUUUUUGGUGCAGUUUUGGUGCAGUUGUGGUGUAAUUUUUGCUGCAGUUUAGUUGCUGUUUUUUGUGCAGUUUUGGUGCUGUUUAGCUGCUGUUUUUUGUGCAGUUUUGUGCAGUUUUUUGUUGCAGUUUCAGUGCAGUUUUUUGCUGCAGGUUUGGUACAGUUCUUGGUGUUGUUUUGCUGCAGAUUUGGUGCAGUUUUUGGUGUUGUUGCUGUUUUUGGUGCAAUUUUGGUGCAUAUUCAUUAAUUAAUAUACAAGAAAAAUAAGACCAUCUUAUGCAUAAAUAUGUGUAUAUUUUAAAUUGUACAUUUUUUUCUCAAAAACCAAACCGAAACCGUUUGAAACAGCACCGAACCGAACCAAACGGUUUGGUUUCAUUUCGGUUUUGGCUUCAAAACCGCACCGCAAAAAGUUUCGAUUUCGGUUGUGGUUUCACUCGAAACCGC
This 669-nucleotide long non-coding RNA is filed under the name Malus domestica (apple). RNAcentral's name for it is "long non-coding RNA (MDOM_LNC003671)". Lineage: Eukaryota; Viridiplantae; Streptophyta; Magnoliopsida; Rosales; Rosaceae. The record is from RNAcentral.